RNAcentral lists this long non-coding RNA (1163 nucleotides) under Gallus gallus (chicken). Its description in RNAcentral is "lncRNA (ENSGALG00010016371.1)". The record is from RNAcentral. Lineage: Eukaryota; Metazoa; Chordata; Aves; Galliformes; Phasianidae.
UAAAUAUAUUCCUUUGCUUUCCAUUUGUUCCUUCACUCUUGGCAAGAGAAAUGCAGUGAAGGAGCAGAGAAGUGCUGUGGAGAAGUUCUGCUCAGUUGUUAUCCAAGUCCCUUGGCACAAGGUAUACAAAAAACUCCAGAGAAGCCAAACCCAGAGCUAUCUGUCAGCAGGCUCUGAGAAUCAGUGGUCUGUAGCUGCCUGCAGAUUCUCCAUUUCCCCCACUCGCUCAUCAUCCCCUGCAAUAAUUGCUUUGCCAAUAAGAAAGGAGUUGAUGGGACCAUAUCUAAAACAAAAAGUCACUGUUUUUCUUCUGGCAAGUGUCAUGAAAGGGAAGGCAACUGGACUUCAUCCUGAAACUUCUCCCAUCCCGUUUUCAUAUGUCCAUACACAUGGCAGAGGAAGAAUAUCUGCAUCCUGGCCUGAAGGGGCAGAUAAGAAAAAGAAAACUACUCUUGCCACAAAGAGUAUGACUAAAAUAAGUGGAAGAAGGAGUGGCAUGGAAAUGAAUUUGCUGAAGAUUGGUUCUUGUGGAUUUGUGGAAGUCCUAUCCAGCGUAGCCUUACUGGAGGCUGCAUGAAUUUUAUCACACUUUUCUCUAUAGGUCUGUGUCACAUUUGCAAACCACAAUAGUAUCUUCUUAUGACAGAAGAGUACGAAGAGUAGCAGAGACUACUUCUGAUUCAGGGACAAGUGUUUCAAAGUAACUUCUGUAAUCUAUCUUCCUCGUUUCACAGCCCAAUCUUUCUUAAUAAGGCCUGGAACACUGGGCAUUAGGUGUAACAAAUAUUCUGUGGUCAAAGAAAUUCUACCUGUGAGAGGUCUUCUUGAAAUAGAUGUGGGAUUUCUGGAAGGCACGGAUUACCAUACGAAAUAGAUGUUUCUCACCUGCUGGCACAGUAUUAUUCCCCCUGUUCUGUCUUCUGCUUUUGUUUCAUGUAUUUCUGCUCUAAGACUCCAUCCUACAUAUGAAGGAGAGAACUUGCCAGCUUAGAUUCUUCAACCAGGGUCAAGUAUGCUAAGAAUGUCUUGUUGCAGGAUUCAAAAAUCUGUGCUGGAAUUAUCUCCAAAGUCCUCUACAGCAUGUUAAUACACAGUUUUUUUUUUUGUUGUUGUUGUUGUUUUUUGUUUGUUUUGUUUUGUUUUUCCACAUGCUAACUUGGAAG